Molecule: long non-coding RNA, 872 nt
Organism: Erigeron canadensis
Lineage: Eukaryota; Viridiplantae; Streptophyta; Magnoliopsida; Asterales; Asteraceae
Exons: 2
Source: RefSeq, a predicted model, not a curated record
CCCCUCUAUCGCCUCCACCACUCCAUCAUAAUCGCCAUAAUUAACAAGUAAAAACGGAGAGAGUGUGAGAGAUCAAACACCCAAGACAGAUCGAAGUUAGAUAUGGUUUUUGUAAGUCCACCACUACCAGCUCCGAUUUUUUAGGCUAUCGGUACCGACCACAAUAUAUCCUUGUAAUCUCUCACAACCAGCGAUCUUAACUUCAAGCUACAAGAAAAUCAAACCAUUAUAUAUAAUAUAAAGUUUAGCAGGAGGGGGUGAUUGAAAAUUGUUUAGUAUUUGAAGUAGGUGGGUUUUAGAAAGAAAGAAUUAUAGGGAAUUGGGGCGGUGAUUAUGAUAACUAGAUCAAAGUUGGUAGAACAAUUGAGAGAAAAUCAGAUCAGAUCUCAACACAAGUGGUUUCCUCCUCUUGUUCUCUUCUCUCCUAAGCCUACUCUCUCCUCCUGGGUUGAUGUUACUGUGGCAAUCUUGUGGGCCACACUGUUCAUUGUGCUUGUAAUAUUAUCAUACAUGACCCUCUACUCCAGACAUUUUUGGCUUUCCUUUGCGAUCAUUUGUCUUGGUAUUUUAGUUCCUAUACGCUUGAGGAUUUCUAGGCAGACAAUUGCAAGGAAAAAAGAUAGAAGGUUGCUAUUGCCUUUGUCCAUGUAAACAGCCACAAUUGGUCAUACAACUAUACAAGUCAAACCCAGUUAUCUUAUCAACUGGUGAAAGUGUGAAACUGUUAGAAACUCCAAGUAGCUGUUAGAAUAGACGCUGUUAUUGCUCUUUUUCCCCUUUUUAUCUAUAUGUACAAAACAUGAUUAAUUACUCACAUUUUCAUUUGACUAGUUCAUUUAAGCUCAAUGCUAUUGGGUAUUAUGGCUAUUAAA